RNAcentral lists this ribosomal RNA (260 nucleotides) under uncultured prokaryote. RNAcentral's name for it is "partial 16S ribosomal RNA". It matches the Rfam family "Bacterial small subunit ribosomal RNA", at positions 524 to 784 of the family's 1533-position model. The record is from RNAcentral.
UACGUAGGUGGCAAGCGUUGUCCGGAUUUAUUGGGCGUAAAGGGAGCGCAGGCGGUGACUUAAGUCUGAUGUGAAAGCCCACGGCUCAACCGUGGAAGGUCAUUGGAAACUGGGUCACUUGAAUAUGGAAGAGGAAAGUGGAAUUCCAUGUGCAGCGGUGAAAUGCGUAGAUAUAUGGAGGAACACCAGUGGCGAAGGCGACUUUCUGGUCUAUUAUUGACGCUGAGGCUCGAAAGCAUGGGUAGCAACAGGAUUAGAUA